Molecule: ribosomal RNA, 253 nt
Filed under: uncultured bacterium
Lineage: Bacteria
Description: partial 16S ribosomal RNA
Rfam family: Bacterial small subunit ribosomal RNA
Source: RNAcentral
GACGAACCGUGCGAACGUUGUUCGGAUUCACUGGGCUUAAAGGGCGCGUAGGCGGAUGGCCAAGUCAAGGGUGAAAGCCCCCGGCCCAACCGGGGAAGUGCCUCUGAUACUGGUCAUCUCGAGCGGGAUAGGGGCGGACGGAACUUCCGGUGGAGCGGUGAAAUGCGUUGAUAUCGUAAGGAACACCCGUGGCGAAAGCGGCUCACUGGGUCUUUUCUGACGCUGAUGCACGAAAGCUAGGGGAGCAAACGGG